UGCCUGACCUCAGGACCACCGCCGUAACCCCGCGUCCCCUCCUGCAGAGCCGGCGGGUGACAAAGCCAUGGGGGUCUCGAGGGCCCGCGGGGCGAAGGACAGCAGCAACCGGAAGCGAAAGAGGGAGGCAGAGAAGGGGCAGGAGGUGCUGAAGGCACCCCAGGGAAAGGAGCCAGAGGAAACUCCGUGCACGGCGCAGCCCCCUGUGCUGAAAGGGAAGAAGAAAUCUGCAAAAGUCAAGGAGAAACCACUGCAGGAGAACAUCAUCAGCAGCUCCCUAAAGCACGAGGCUGUGGAAGGUAAAGGUCUCAGCCCAAGCCAGUGGGAUGGGAUCCGAGCGAAGGAGGCAGCUGCGUCUGGGUUGGAGGAGACUGAAUCCAGCCUUCACCAAGGGUCAUCAGCAGGGCUGGAGGACUCUUCCAGGUCACAGCCCAAAAUCUGGAGCGAGGGACCUGCAGUGGGACAGCAGCUCUUGGAGACCAAAGACAGAGUUGGGCUCCUGAGACCAAGCGGUGGUGUUGCUGGCAUGGCUGCAUCCCUUUCUGGAGAGCCUGGGGGUUCAGGGUUAUUUCUGGGGGUCACUGCUGUGAGGGAGGAGGUGGAGAAGGAGCUGGACCCCUCUGUCCCACAGCAGAAGGGGGAUGCCCGAGACCUGAAGAGGAAAAAAGAGAGAGAGAAGAAGCAAGAGCAAAGGAAGCAGAGGGAGAAGGGGUUGCUGAGAAAAGGAGGGAGCAAGAUGGAUGAAUUUGAGGAAGAUCUUGGGGGUAUGAUGGAGGGAUUCAAGGAUGAGGAUGGUGCUGAUGGGAAUGGAGACUGGGGAGUGGGACAGGGAAGAGCCAAGAGAGGGGGCAGCAGCUGUGCCCAGGGGAGGAGCAAUGAGAAGGAAAAGCAGGAGAAGGGGAAAGCAGAGAAACGCAAGAAGGUGAAAACGGAGGGGGAGGAGAAAAUGGGGAGGAAGAAAAUAAAAAAGGAAAAAAUGCUGGAAGAGGAGCAAAAGUUGGAAAGGACAAAUGAGGAAUUAGAAGCGGGAGAUGAACCAGGAGGGAUGGAGGGGAGAGAUGUGGUGGGAAAGGAAAGUGAAGAUGGGAAAGGAAUAAAGGAGGAGGAGGUGGAUGAGCAAGGGGAUGAGGGAUGGGGACAGGCUGAGAGCAUGGAGAUUGGGCUGGAGGUGAAGGAGGAAGAUGAGGCAGGGAAGGGAGAUGGGCCAGGGAAAGGGAAAAAGCAGAAAACCAAGGAGAAAAAGCCAAAAGAGAAAAAGGAGAAGGGGAAGAAAAGUGAAGAGAAGAGCGAAAAUGAGGAGAUCCCAGAGAAAACCCGGAGAAGAAAAUCUAAGGAGAAAGGAGAGGAGAAGAAAAACAAAAAGGCUAAAAAGGAGGAAAAAGAGAAAGAAAAGAAAGAGGCAGAAAAGAAGUGGAAAUGGUAAAUGUCUUGCACGUGUUUGGCCUGUGGGCAGGUUUAAGUUGAAUGUAACUGGGGUUUUUUAAUUUUAUUUCUUAGGAUAAAACUGUAAAAACUCUAUUAAUCCUUUUAUUAACUGCUUGGUGUAUUUUCCUAAGCCCUGAACUUAGCUGAGCACUCUGAGCAGGAGGAGGGAGUGGGGUGAGAGAAUGGGAGGUCCCAAAUACAAAAUAGUAUUUAUAUGGUAUUUUUAUGAUGUGUGCUGUUAUAAGAGUAUAUAUUCCUCCUCAACUGACUUUGCUGGUGUCUGGCCAGGCAAGGGAUGUGCUCACGGCUGGUGGAAGGAGAUAACCCACAAAACCCUGUGCAAUAAAACCACUGCCAUAUCAGUGGGAGCCA
Long non-coding RNA from Anser brachyrhynchus (Pink-footed goose), 1797 nucleotides. NCBI's taxonomy places the organism in Eukaryota, Metazoa, Chordata, Aves, Anseriformes, Anatidae. The record is from Ensembl.